GACGAACGCUGGCGGCGUGCUUAACACAUGCAAGUCGAACGCUGAACCCGCUUCGGUGGGGGAUGAGUGGCGAACGGGUGAGUAACACGUGGGCAACCUGCCCCCGGCUCUGGGAUAACUCCAAGAAAUUGGGGCUAAUACCGGAUGUGACUGCUUGCCGCAUGGUCUGGUGGUGGAAAGGGUUUCCGGCUGGGGAUGGGCCCGCGGCCUAUCAGCUUGUUGGUGGGGUAGUGGCCUACCAAGGCGACGACGGGUAGCCGGCCUGAGAGGGUGACCGGCCACACUGGGACUGAGAGACGGCCCAGACUCCUACGGGAGGCAGCAGUGGGGAAUAUUGCGCAAUGGGCGGAAGCCUGACGCAGCGACGCCGCGUGGGGGAUGACGGCCUUCGGGUUGUAAACCUCUUUCAGCAGGGACGAAGCGCAAGUGACGGUACCUGCAGAAGAAGCACCGGCCAACUACGUG
RNAcentral lists this ribosomal RNA (465 nucleotides) under uncultured bacterium. Its description in RNAcentral is "partial 16S ribosomal RNA". It matches the Rfam family "Bacterial small subunit ribosomal RNA", at positions 28 to 507 of the family's 1533-position model. The record is from RNAcentral.